RNAcentral lists this ribosomal RNA (756 nucleotides) under uncultured bacterium. RNAcentral describes it as "bacterial SSU rRNA". It matches the Rfam family "Bacterial small subunit ribosomal RNA", at positions 8 to 796 of the family's 1533-position model. The record is from RNAcentral.
AGAGUUUGAUCCUGGCUCAGAAUCAACGCUGGCGGCGCGCCUAACACAUGCAAGUCGAACGAGAAAGUGGAGCAAUCCAUGAGUACAGUGGCGUACGGGUGAGUAACACGUGGGUGAUCUACCUCUUAGUGAGGAAUAACCCUGGGAAACCGGGGCUAAUACCGCAUAAGCCUGAGAAGGGAAAGCAGCAAUGCGCUGAGAGAGGAGCCCGCGGCCGAUUAGCUAGUUGGUGAGGUAAGAGCCCACCAAGGCAGAGAUCGGUAGCCGGCCUGAGAGGGCACACGGCCACACUGGCACUGAAACACGGGCCAGACUCCUACGGGAGGCAGCAGUGGGGAAUCUUGCACAAUGGGGGAAACCCUGAUGCAGCGACGCCGCGUGAGCGAUGAAGCCCUUCGGGGUGUAAAGCUCUUUCGUCAGGGAAGAUCAUGACGGUACCUGGAGAAGCAGCUGCGGCUAACUACGUGCCAGCAGCCGCGGUAAUACGUAGGCAGCAAGCGUUGUUCGGAGUUACUGGGCGUAAAGGGUGUGUAGGCGGUUCUUUAAGUUUGGUGUGAAAUCUCCCGGCUCAACCGGGAGGGUGCGCCGAAUACUGAGGGACUAGAGUGUGGGAGAGGAAAGUGGAAUUCCUGGUGUAGCGGUGAAAUGCGUAGAUAUCAGGAGGAACACCGGUGGUGUAGACGGCUUUCUGGACCAUAACUGACGCUGAGACACGAAAGCGUGGGUAGCAAACAGGAUUAGAUACCCUAGUAGUCC